RNAcentral lists this ribosomal RNA (400 nucleotides) under uncultured bacterium. RNAcentral describes it as "bacterial SSU rRNA". It matches the Rfam family "Bacterial small subunit ribosomal RNA", at positions 356 to 773 of the family's 1533-position model. The record is from RNAcentral.
GGGGAAUCUUAGACAAUGGGGGCAACCCUGAUCUAGCCAUGCCGCGUGAGUGAUGAAGGCAUUAGGGUUGUAAAGCUCUUUCAGCUGUGAAGAUAAUGACGGUAGCAGCAGAAGAAGUCCCGGCUAACUCCGUGCCAGCAGCCGCGGUAAUACGGAGGGGACUAGCGUUGUUCGGAAUUACUGGGCGUAAAGCGCACGUAGGCGGAUCGGAAAGUUGGGGGUGAAAUCCCGGGGCUCAACCCCGGAACGGCCUUCAAAGCUAUCGGUCUGGAGUUCGAGAGAGGUGAGUGGAAUUCCGAGUGUAGAGGUGAAAUUCGUAGAUAUUCGGAGGAACACCAGUGGCGAAGGCGGCUCACUGGCUCGAUACUGACGCUGAGGUGCGAAAGCGUGGGGAGCAAAC